ACUCCUACGGGAGGCAGCAGUGGGGAAUCUUGGACAAUGGGCGCAAGCCUGAUCCAGCCAUGCCGCGUGAGUGAUGAAGGCCCUAGGGUCGUAAAGCUCUUUCGCCUGUGAAGAUAAUGACGGUAGCAGGUAAAGAAACCCCGGCUAACUCCGUGCCAGCAGCCGCGGUAAUACGGAGGGGUUAGCGUUGUUCGGAAUUACUGGGGCGUAAAGCGCGCGUAGGCGGAUUAGUAAGUCAGAGGUGAAAUCCCGGGGCUCAACCCCGGAACUGCCUUUGAUACUGCUAGUCUUGAGUUCGAGAGAGGUAAGUGGAAUUCCGAGUGUAGAGGUGAAAUUCGUAGAUAUUCGGAGGAACACCAGUGGCGAAGGCGGCUUACUGGCUCGAUACUGACGCUGAGGUGCGAAAGUGUGGGGAGCAAACAGGAUUAGAUACCCUGGUAGGAUAGCG
Molecule: ribosomal RNA, 448 nt
Filed under: uncultured bacterium
Lineage: Bacteria
Description: bacterial SSU rRNA
Rfam family: Bacterial small subunit ribosomal RNA
Source: RNAcentral